This 505-nucleotide ribosomal RNA is filed under the name Eucephalobus cf. oxyuroides JH-2004. Its description in RNAcentral is "SSU rRNA". It matches the Rfam family "Eukaryotic small subunit ribosomal RNA", at positions 88 to 590 of the family's 1831-position model. The record is from RNAcentral. Lineage: Eukaryota; Metazoa; Nematoda; Chromadorea; Rhabditida; Cephalobidae.
CGCGAAUGGCUCAUUACAACAGCUAUAAUUCACUUGAUCUUGACACAAUCCUACUUGGAUAACUGUGGUAAUUCUAGAGCUAAUACAUGCAUUAAAGCUCUGACCUCACGGAAAGAGUGCAUUUAUUAGAACAAAACCAAGCGGCUUCGGCUGUUUUCGGUUGACUCAUAGUAACUGAGCUGAUCGCAUGGUCUUGCACCGGCGACGUGUCUUUCAAGUAUCUGCCGUAUCAACUUUCGAUGGUAGUGUAUCUGACUACCAUGGUGAUCACGCGUAACGGAGAAUAAGGGUUCGACUCCGGAGAGUUCGCCUGAGAAAUCGCGAACACAUCUAAGGAAGGCAGCAGGCGCGAAAAUUACCCACUCUCAGCACGAGGAGGUAGUGACGAAAAAUAACGAGACCGUUCUCUUUCGAGGCCGGUCAUCGGAAUGGGUACAAUUUAAACCCUUUAACGAGUAUCUAUGAGAGGGCAAGUCUGGUGCCAGCAGCCGCGGUAAUUCCAGCU